UGUGAGUUGUGAAGAGUGAGGAAGGAGCAUAAUAACGAUGCAGUGAAAAUAUCAAUUAUCAAGUGCAGAGUGAAAUGGGGGAGCUUUAUGCUUUGGACUUCGAUGGAAUCCUCUGUGAUAGCUGCGGUGAGAGCUCUCUCUCUCUGCUCUCAAGGCUGCGAAAGUGAGAUGGCCUUCUUUGUUUCAUGGCGUGGAUUCGGCCACUCAGGAUUGGAUUGUUGACCAGAUGCAUUCAUUGUCUGUGUUAUAGGUCCGACCGGUUGUAGAAACUGGAUAUGAAAAUGUUUUACUUGUGAGAUUGUUGUUAGAGACCAGAAUACCUUCCAUCAGGAAGUCUUCAGUUGCAGAGGGGCUCACGGUUGAGGGUAUAUUGGAAAAUUGGUCCAAGUUGAAGCCUGUUAUCAUGGAAGAGUGGAGUGAGAAUAGAGAAACUUUGAUAGAUCUUUUUGGAAAGGUUAGAGAUGAAUGGUUGGAGCAGGAUUUCGCUACUUGGAUCGGUGCAAAUAGAUUCUAUCCUGGUGUUUCUGAUGCAUUAAAAUUUGCAAGCUCGAGAGUGUACAUUGUCACCACGAAACAGGUCAGCGUCCAACCUUCUUUUUGACCCUAGCUAGGGGAUGAUAAUCCUGUCAACAGAAACUUUUGUCUAAGUAUUAAUGAAAAAUACUCCAUUCCAUAAUAUUUUUACUUUCGAAAGUCAAUGUAUCUUGAUAUAAAUUGCAAGUAAAUAUAUAAAAUUUUUUUAAUGCACCGAAUUUCAAGGUGACAAUUAUUUUGGAAUGAAAGAGUAAGAGAGAAAGGAAGAUAAUGUUGUCCUAAUACGACUUAUGCACCUUUUGCAAUUUUACAUCAUGUCCCCUGUUCAUUUUGUAUCUUUAUCAUUUCUUUUGUAAUUUUAGAGCCGUUUUGCUGAUGCUUUACUCCGAGAGAUUGCUG
Arachis ipaensis is the source of this 933-nucleotide non-coding RNA. NCBI's taxonomy places the organism in Eukaryota, Viridiplantae, Streptophyta, Magnoliopsida, Fabales, Fabaceae. The record is from RefSeq and is a predicted model, not a curated record.